RNAcentral lists this ribosomal RNA (253 nucleotides) under uncultured bacterium. Its description in RNAcentral is "partial 16S ribosomal RNA". It matches the Rfam family "Bacterial small subunit ribosomal RNA", at positions 524 to 776 of the family's 1533-position model. The record is from RNAcentral. RNAcentral also lists the same sequence under 1 other name.
UACAGAGGGUGCAAGCGUUAAUCGGAAUUACUGGGCGUAAAGAGCACGUAGGUGGAUACCUAAGUCGAAUGUGAAAUCCCUGGGCUUAACCUAGGAACUGCAUACGAUACUGGGUGUCUAGAGUAUGGUAGAGGGAAGUGGAAUUUCCGGAGUAGCGGUGAAAUGCGUAGAUAUCGGAAGGAACACCAGUGGCGAAGGCGGCUUCCUGGACUAAUACUGACACUGAGGUGCGAAAGCAUGGGGAGCAAACAGG